AAUAUUCAAGGACAGAUUGGA
Molecule: small nuclear RNA, 21 nt
Filed under: Arabidopsis thaliana (thale cress)
Lineage: Eukaryota; Viridiplantae; Streptophyta; Magnoliopsida; Brassicales; Brassicaceae
Description: snRNA_05059
Source: RNAcentral